UUUUAUUCUUUGAUUGCUAAUCUAUUCAUUUGGCAUGUGAGAAUCAUAGCCGAAGUAACGCUUGGACCUUUAAAUUAGGUCUAUUUUUCUGGGAAUUGCCGAUAGUGACGUGUCUUGAUUUUACGAAUACAGACAAUUGUAAAGUGGGUUUAUUUGCGGACAGUCUUAGUCAUUCAAAUAGCAUUGGUGGUUCAGUGGUAGAAUUCUUGCCUGCCACGCGGGAGGCUCGGGUUUGGUUCCCAGCCAAUGCGCUUACUAAAAUCAGAGUUUUUGAUUGUAAUUAAACUAUUGUAUGUUUUGCCUCGAAAGACACAGUCGCUAGUGUUUGGUGAAGAUAUAAACGGAACGUUUUAAAUAGUUUGUUUGGUUCAAAUUGAAAGACUAAUUCAUUCAACUUAAAAUAAUAGCGAAGCGAAUUUUGAUGCAAGACGAUGUCUGUUGCCUAAAGGAUCUGCUGGAAUAAUGUAUUGAGAAUUGAGUCGUAUUUAAAUUACUGUAUCAAUAGAGGAGACAGUUACCUAAAUUAAAGAAAUUGUAAAUAGUAGCGGAGAGAUAAUGGCGAUAGAGUGGUGCCCACCGAAAUGUUUUUCAUUCUUAUAGAUUGACUGGCACGUGAUAAUUUUGGCGCUGUGUGUGUUAUUUUUAAAGUCUUGGACAUCCCAUAAGUGUGAAGAGGAAAGAGAAGAGAAAGUUGUAAAGUUUGGUUUUAAUCUUACGAUAGAGGGUAUUCCAGACAUGGGAAGCUCUCACACUGAAAGCAGAUUGACUUAAGGAUUCCUUCUUCCGGGACAGAUGGAAGUUAUCUAAAAUAUGCCUGGACUGUGAGCCAGCUCAUCUAGGUGAGUGUAUGGCGUGUUCUGGUUUGUCUGCUCUGCUACGCGCAGAUCCACCCGAUUGCGACGAUAGAGGGAGCCACCAACAUCCACCAGGUAAGAACGUGGUGCAACUCUCUGCAGGCAUGUGCCCAGCCUCAAGUCCUGUGUGGUCUCCCGGCAGCGGUUUCAUCCUUAUCGUUUCACCCACCUCCAGCUCUGGUAGGUCCCGAGCAGUCCGGUCGUAGAAGCACUUAGCGAGCUGCUUUCUGUGACGCAGUUUGUCCGUGACGCCAACCAUGACGCAGGGCUCAAGUAG
This is a long non-coding RNA of Oncorhynchus tshawytscha (Chinook salmon), 1131 nucleotides long. Lineage: Eukaryota; Metazoa; Chordata; Actinopteri; Salmoniformes; Salmonidae. The record is from Ensembl.